This 68-nucleotide ribosomal RNA is filed under the name uncultured eukaryote. RNAcentral describes it as "partial small subunit ribosomal RNA". The record is from RNAcentral.
UAGGGUAGUGUCGGUGACUGGGGCUAAGUCGUAACAAGGUAGCAGUAGGUGAACCUGCAGAAGGAUCA